RNAcentral lists this ribosomal RNA (251 nucleotides) under uncultured prokaryote. RNAcentral describes it as "partial 16S rRNA". It matches the Rfam family "Bacterial small subunit ribosomal RNA", at positions 525 to 775 of the family's 1533-position model. The record is from RNAcentral.
ACGUAGGGGGCAAGCGUUGUCCGGAAUGAUUGGGCGUAAAGGGCGCGUAGGCGGCAUGGUAAGUCUGGAGUGAAAGGCGUGCUUUUAAGGUGCGAAUUGCUUUGGAAACUGUCGGGCUUGAGUGCAGGAGAGGUAAGUGGAAUUCCCGGUGUAGCGGUGAAAUGCGUAGAGAUCAGGAGGAACACCAGUGGCGAAGGCGACUUACUGGACUGUAACUGACGCUGAGUCGCGAAAGUGUGGGUAGCAAACAG